This 206-nucleotide long non-coding RNA is filed under the name Elaeis guineensis (African oil palm). Its description in RNAcentral is "long non-coding RNA (EGUI_LNC036834)". Lineage: Eukaryota; Viridiplantae; Streptophyta; Magnoliopsida; Arecales; Arecaceae. The record is from RNAcentral.
UGGUUGUUGGUCCCUAUUAAAGGAUAUCAGGGACAGUAUAGCUGGUUCCUUCUCAGGAACCAUUUAUCUCCCGAAUAUUCCUCAAAGGAAGGCUAGGAAACUAACUUGAGUGGGGCAAAAAACUAUCCCCUAAAAAGGCCCAAGACCUUUAUGUGGAUUACAAUGUAGAAGAAGCCCCCGACGAUCGCCGUUGCAGCUCCAUAGCC